GGGUAUUUGUUUUCUUCAAAAUAGCAGAAUGCCGUCAAUAUUUUUAUAUGAUAUUCGAUCAUAGAGAAGACUGUGUCUGUGAAAUUAUCUGUGUAGUAAGGCCAAGAAAAAAAUACAUGUGUUUCAGGUAACAUCCCCUAAAAAAUUAGGAUCGGUAGGAAAGCAAAAUAGUUUUUUUUUCAAACGUUUUUGACUGGUUCA
RNAcentral lists this long non-coding RNA (201 nucleotides) under Mytilus galloprovincialis (Mediterranean mussel). The record is from RNAcentral. Lineage: Eukaryota; Metazoa; Mollusca; Bivalvia; Mytilida; Mytilidae.